This 376-nucleotide ribosomal RNA is filed under the name uncultured bacterium. Its description in RNAcentral is "bacterial SSU rRNA". It matches the Rfam family "Bacterial small subunit ribosomal RNA", at positions 521 to 896 of the family's 1533-position model. The record is from RNAcentral.
UAAGACGAACCGUGCAAACGUUGUUCGGAUUCACUGGGCUUAAAGGGUGCGUAGGCGGGUGAUCAAGUCAGGGGUGAAAUCCUCCCGCUUAACGGGAGAAGUGCCUUUGAUACUGGUCGUCUUGAGGGAGGUAGGGGCAUGUGGAACUUCCGGUGGAGCGGUGAAAUGCGUAGAUAUCGGAAGGAACGCCGGUGGCGAAAGCGACGUGCUGGAUCUCUUCUGACGCUGAGGCACGAAAGCCAGGGUAGCGAACGGGAUUAGAUACCCCGGUAGUCCUGGCCCUAAACGAUGGGUACUAGAUUGUGGGCUUGACAUGGGUUCACAGUCGAAGCAAAAGUGUUAAGUACCCCGCCUGGGGAGUAUGGUCGCAAGGCUG